GUACUAAGUACCCAAGGGCAGUGAGCUGGGUUCCACGAAAUUACAGCCCGCAGCACCCGAGGAUUGGAAAUCCCAGGGCAGAAGGGGCGUUUCGUCUUAGGACCGCUGGACUCGGACUCGGCAUGUCGCAGCUCAGUUGUGGGGCUGCAGUGCGGCUCCCCCCAACCGUCCGCUUUCUAAGCUCCACUGUGGAGCGGCAGGUGCCGCAGCUCCUCCCCUCCCGCCUCGGCGCACUCCCGGGUCAUGGGGGCGGGGGGAGGGGAGGUGUGGUGAAGCAUCUAGACUCAGCGGCGGGCGAUCCCAUCCAAGCACCCUGAGAUCUCGGUGUUGAGAAAGAGGGGGUACAGGAGGCGGGGAGGAGGGUGAGGAGGACUGCAGAGCUCAGGCGCUGAGCUGUGCACUGGAGGGGGGAGGGAUGGGAGCUCCCUUCCAGCCUUGGGGGUCUGGGGACUCAGGGAUGUAAGGCGAGAGCAGGGGGGUGUGACAAUUCAGCAGAGGUCGGGACGUACCACGGAGCCCAGUGGCGGGGGGGGGGCAGAGGACGUGGUCAUCAAGGGGAGCCCCCGCCCGCCUUCGCAAAGGCCUACGCCUGAGGUUGCAGGGAGAACUGGAACUGGGCUCCCGGUAGGGGGAAGCGGUGUAUUAAAUCCGCCCCCUACUCAUACCCCACUUCCGAGGGGGUGGACGAUAGAGGGAGGUUGGGGUUGGAGCAGCGGCGAGGGGGCCCCUCCCUAGCACCUCCCCCCACCGGACUUGGUCGCGCCCGAAGUGUAACACUUUCUCUUUGUCGGAGGAGCUCCGCUGUUUCCUGUGCUGUAGCUCCCGUUGCAGCGGCGCCCGUGGCAGCCCUGGCGGACGCAGGAGCGAUGGCAGCGACCGAUAUAGCUCGCCAGGUGACCAGAAGUUCGAUUGCAAAGGGAGGGGAUGAUUCCAUUUGGGGGAACAAUCUAGCCUUUCUAUUCAUCCAUGGCUAUCUGGGAUUUUAAGAAGCCCACAAUUACCAGCACCCUGAGAUGAGGAAGGAGAGAAAAGCAGAGAAUAACAGCAGUGGGAGAAAGAUGCACAGCUGGAAUGGCCAUAACUGCGUUCUUCAUAACAUGAACCUUCGAAUAUUCAAUUAAAAAACAAAAUUGGUGUGUCCUCAGGGGAGGAGGCGGAAGAGAAAGAGAGUGGUGUUUCGGCCUGUGAUAUGAAAUGUGGUAUAACGUAUUUCAAAACCGCAGGUGACUGCAGAUGAGGAGAAAACAGGAAAUGUAAUUGGGGAGGAGAGUGGGGGCUCUCCCAAUUCUCAGGAGCACUCUUUGGUUUUGCCUUCCUUUUAGCUCCUCUCAGACUCUCUGCAUCCUAAUUACCUCUGCUGCAAAGCUGACUGAGCACUCUCUUUUCUUGUAUUAAAAUGUUUUUAAAUUACACAGGUAAUGUGUGAAUACAUUCAUGUUGUAAAAGAAUCAAACAAUACAGAAGCAUACUGCCU
This 1474-nucleotide long non-coding RNA is filed under the name Equus asinus (donkey). RNAcentral's name for it is "lncRNA (ENSEASG00005024264.1)". The record is from RNAcentral. Lineage: Eukaryota; Metazoa; Chordata; Mammalia; Perissodactyla; Equidae.